AUGACCACUGGCUCUCACGGUGGCUGGGAACCCUGGCGGGGAGGCCUGCGCCUCCUCAAGCUCCAGUCCCUCUGGAUGGGGCACCAAGAGGCACCCUGAGAACUCAGAGGACCCAGAGGCUCCCCUCAAGCAAAUUCCCUGCUGACCCUGGACACCCCUUGAAGGAGGGGGCAAGAGGCUGCCACAAGGCUCAUCUUAUAACUCCCAGCAAGGACUCCCAGCAAACAAGAGACCCACAUCACUCAGUUCCCAGGACACCUGGUGGGAGAGUCUGAGUUGUGUUCUCACCACCCACUUUGUCGGCGGAGGAGAAACACUGCUGCCUGAUGCUUGCACUGCUGCACUGUUCUUGCACCUGCUCCUAGCCCUGAACUCGGGCCCUGAGCUCCUCACUGCCGCCCGCUCUGCGCUGAGCCCCACUCCUGAGACCGCGAGGUGCCAGAGCAGCGCCUCUCCCACCAACUCCUAGACGCCUGUAGGAGCUGCGCCGGAGCCUUCAGAACCCCAUGGGGGUGUGGGGGUGAAGUUGGAGGUCAUCCGGGGCUUUCCGCCUGCACACAGUCAUUUGGAGAAAAUCAAGUGAGUGCACUUCUCCCCACAGAGGAUUCUGUAUGUUAUGUAACACACUCACACUGGGAUUCCUCAAGUUACCAUUUUGCCCCAACUCAGCCAGCACUUGGUUUUCUGGCGGGGGUGUCAGGAUGAUGCAAAUGGAGGUGGAAGCUUCAUUCCCUGGGGGCUUUUAUUCCCCUCCUUGAAGCCCCAGUUCAAGGCCCAGGAACAAAGGGGAAAGGUAACUGAUCUCUCUUUUGGUCUUUCUCUCCCCUCACUUCCACCCCUUCACCUGCAGGCCCUCCUCUUUGAUAAAUAGAGGAAAGCCCGUGGGAUCAGGUACAUAUGUAAAUACUGCUGACCUCGGCCGCCCCUCCUCACCGAAAAGCAGAAAGCCCGUUUCAGGUGCAGGCUGCUCCGUGCCUUUGAGUGUCCACCACUUCUAUUCCCCCAGACUGCUUGGGACUCAAGGCCACUCACUUAAUACCCGUCUCUUGUUAAAAACAUUCAGGACAACUAUUAAAUAGUUAUUGGAAGAGUUAAAGACCUUCUUUCAGGAGUGAAACGUUUUUAAAGCUGUGCUUGGCAUAAGUCUUUAAGGCGUACAAAGUAGAAUCAGUAGACUUGCCUGAGCGAUUUUGAAAUUUGAAAGAUUUCUCCCCAUGAAAUGGUAAUUUAAAAUAGUUUGUAGAUGUUGUUUUGUUCUGUGAUGGCUUUUUCACCAUUGUCACCUAAAGAUUCUCAAGACCAAGCUACUAAGACAUUUCAUUUGGUUAGUUUCUGGGUGAUACUGUGCUUUCUGAUUAGACCUAUUUAAUUUAUUUUUAACUCUGCAGGAGAGUUUUCAACCUUGGAAAUGUAAGUGAAACACAGACUCACCCUCCUUCUGAGACCUUGAUAGGGGCAGAAAGGAACAAAUCUGGCUAGCCCCCCUCACACCUGGAAGUUUCCCUGUCUAAACCUGGGUACAAUGAGCGUGGUGGGUUUUGUCACCUUUUAUUUUAUUGCUGGCUCAAGGAAAAUUCUUUGAAAUGAACAUCUAUUCUAUUUCAGUGUGCAAUGUUCCAGCCGACUUAAUGGGCUUGCCUUAUGCGGAGAGGCAGUCCUGCAGGACAGAGCUAAUGUGUGGUCUCCCAGGAAGCUCAUCAGAACACCUCUUGUCCCUUUUCUUUAAAAGAAAAAAAAUUUAAAAAGUUUUUGCUUCCAUCUCAAUGUCCAUUCCAUUAUUUUGUAGCUACAAUAAAGAAACAUGGGCAGCAGUGAUCAUUCUUUUUGUCCUAUGUAAUCAUGUCUAGUGUUAGGACCUUACAAAGCUCCAGACAUACCUCAGGUGUAUUCUGCACUUUUCAUAUUUAUUCACUGCUCACUGGGUCACACAGAUGAUUCACACUUGAUUCCACCUUCCUCUGGACAACUCUCCCUCAAACAACACCCCUCUAUCAACUUAUAGGGAAAGGAGAUUCACUUAGAGAAAACUUCUUGAAUUAAAGACCAGACUCAGUUUCGCCAGGUAACUAAUCCUGGCAUACCGGUGACUAGGAAGUCAUCACCUAACACUCUACCUAGAUAUAAACUCUCAGGAAGGAGGCAGGCCGGUGGGGACAUUUCCACAGACAUUUCUAAAACUGUGGCAAUUGAGUAUAUUUUACAGAUACAAUUUUGGUAGAUUCCCAUCCAGCUUAAGACAUUUAAAAUGCAAUUUUGUUCACACGCAUGUGCGCGCACACAGACACACACGCACGUGUCAACUAGGGUGAUAUUAACAGUCCAUUUCCACUGGGCAAUUCUGUGACAGCAACUACAACUAACAAACUUCUUUUCUGAAGAGUAAAAAAGAAAACAAAAGCCUCUCCAUCUAUUUUAAAAGGUUAUUUUAUAUUGUUUAGCAUUCUUUCGAAACAGGAAUUGGCUGGACACUUCUCCCUUUUCAAAGAUCAGGUAAACUACUCUCCCACCCACCUCCUCCCCAAGACCAAGCCAUUUUUUAAAGCAAAAAUUCUGUUUCCAAAGGAAGAAAAAUGAACAAAUUCCAUUAAUGAAUUACAUACAUGGAAUGUGGCUUGUCUAGGACAUUUGUAUUUGUAAAUAAAUGGCUCCCUGUUUAUUAUGUAUGUUUUACUGGAAAAAAAACCAACUCUAAUGCCUCUGAGCAUGUUAUAAUACAGCAAAUAUUUCCACUUAUGGUUUCAGUUCCACUGUUUCUUGGUACUCACUAGAAAGAAAUCGGGUUACAUGGAGUCAGUUGUGGGGUUUAAGCGUCCAGGCUGACUUGGGGACGCGGCACCUCUAAAGUUCUCAUGUUUGCCAAAGUGCGGGGGGAAGGGGGAAUGGCUCCUAGGAAUCUUAUGGGGAUUAAUCUGGGGUUUCGCCUUUGUCCCGGGAUCUUUCUAAGGCUCACCACGGCCUCCGUCUGCAGCUUCAGAAGCGAAGCCGGCGUGCGAUCUCCUUGGCGGGCGGACUGGGCACAGUCCCUGCCUUGCCCUGCUGCCGGCGCCCGCACACCGCGGUCUCAGGAUCUCCCCGCAGGCCUAGGCCUGCAGUCCUCGGGCGGAGACGGGGCCUGGGGGAGCGACCCUCACCGGGCCAGGCACAGGCAGUUUACCCUGGUGCCUGUAGGGUGCUCGAGUUUCCCACACGCGGGAAGCGGAGGCGUGGGCCAAGCGCCGGGGGCUGCCCAAGAACUCCACCGCCCCGUGCGGCGCGCAGGGCCUGGCGGCGCGAAACUUCCACAAAGCCGCCGGCCGCCUCCGGCCUUGCCUCCACUCCGCAGUCCCAGCUGCCUAGACCUCGGUGUCUUCCCAGACAAUGAGCCCUGCCAGUGCACUAGGCUGUUCCGCUCUGACUUCUUCUGCCCGCACAUGGGGACCCGAGCGAAAGGUUAUGGGUUGGAACAAGUCAGCGCAUCUCCUUCCACGCGCCGCAUCCUUCGGGAAGACAAACAGACCCUGCAGAAAGUUAUCGCCAGAACCUCUGGAACCUGAGCCGACUCCAGCCUCCAGCAACUCCCUCAACCUUCCAGGGAAACUUUCAGAAGUUUCCCUUUCCUUCGCUCCUCAAUUCCUUGGACUUUCUCCAGCCCCCAGGUUUGCUCAUUACUCUGCUGACUGCCCUUUAGUCUCUAGGGCUCCACAGGCCUGAGCGUUUCCAGAAUAAUAAUAAUAAUAAUAAUAAUAAUAAUAAUAAUAAUAAUAAUAAUUGUUAUUAUGAGGCUGGGGAAGAACAGGAUCAGAGGGUAGGAGGGACUGAGGGAGAGAGUGGACAUGUUUAUGAAAAGGUUUAUUUAAACCUGUGUUUCAAAAGGGUUCAGUUGACAAUUAUCAGUAACCCCGAUAGACAACUCCAUUAAAAAAAAAAAGAAUUUACUAUUGCUCUUGAAAGCCGUUAUUUUUUCCAUCGCUUUUUAGGAAGAUAGAUGAACAAAACAUCGCGUUUCAAGCCAUUUUGAUCUGUAAUUGAAAGGCAGGAUCGGUUUGUAUUCUCCUACGGCUUUUACAGAAGUUGCAGUGAUCCAAAGUCGGGUUGCUGUGUCAGAGUGGCAUUUUUAUUAAUGAGAAUACAAAAAGCUUGCAUAUUCUUAGCCCUGCUUGAAUUUAGUUGCUAAGCAACGGGUGUAUGGUAAUUCAUCCGCGAAAUUUAAAUCUUUGAGAAAGGUUCGUGCGUUUUGCUGAAUGGUCGCCACGAGGAAAACAACUUGUGGGACCCACAGCAGCUGCCACAGUCUGGCCGCCCGGCCGUGCCGGGCCGAGCAGGGACCCGGCCGCCCCACCGCGACCGCCACCGCC
RNAcentral lists this long non-coding RNA (4334 nucleotides) under Homo sapiens (human). RNAcentral's name for it is "non-protein coding LINC01159:10". The record is from RNAcentral. Lineage: Eukaryota; Metazoa; Chordata; Mammalia; Primates; Hominidae.